Suricata suricatta (meerkat) is the source of this 2711-nucleotide RNA transcript. It is a transcript of the gene named WD repeat domain 73, with no coding region annotated. The transcript is spliced from 10 exons. The record is from RefSeq and is a predicted model, not a curated record. NCBI's taxonomy places the organism in Eukaryota, Metazoa, Chordata, Mammalia, Carnivora, Herpestidae.
UUCUCGCGAGAGGGCCGCGCCUGCCCCGGGAAAGUUCUCAGAGGCGGAAGUGGGGUCGCGGAAGCGGCGUUGCCAUGGAGUCCGCGGAGGACUGGCUGGUGGAAUCCUUGCGCUUGUACCAAGAUUUCCAUGCAUUCGACCUUUCGGGAGCCACACGAGUCCUAGAAUGGAUUGGUGACAAAGGAGUCUGUGUCGCUGGCUAUGAAAGCCUGAAGAAAAAUGAGAUUCUUCAUCUGACAUUACCUCUCAGACUUUCUGUCAAAGAAAACCAGGGCUUAUUCCCAGAGCGAGAUUUCAAGGUUUGCCACGGAGGAUUUUCAGACACGCCUGUCUUUGAUCUGAAGCACGUGCCAGACACCAGAGUACUGGUAACCAGUGGUCUCCCUGGUCGUAACCUGCGUGUGUGGCAGGUCCCAGAGGACAGUGACGUCAUCCGGGCUGUCGGCAGCAUCGCGGUGCAGGAGGAGGAGGGGAGUCUGUGGCCUAGGAUGGCCAUCUUCUCUUCGAUGGCCCCGGGGGUCCUGCACGGGGCGAGGCUCCGCAGCCUGAAGGUUGUGGAUCUGGAAUCCCAGAAGACCACGUACUCCUCAGGGGUCAGCGACAGUGAGGAGCUGAGCAGCCUGCAGGUGCUGGAUGCGGACACCUUUGCCUUCUGCUGUGCCUCGGGCCGCCUGGGGCUGGUCGACAUCCGCCAGAAGUGGGCGCCGUCAGAGAAUGUCAGCCCCGGGCCUGGGGCUGCCGGAGGGAGGUGGUGUGCUGAGGUUGGGCACAGAUGCCAGGGCCCCGGGCCCAGCAUUGCCAGCCUUGGCUCAGAUGGGCAGUUGUGUCUUCUUGACCCCCGGGAUCUCUGCCACCCCGUGAGCUCCGUGCGGUGCCCUGUGUCUGCGCCCAGCCCCGACCCAGAGCUGCUGCGGGUGACUUGGGCCCCGGGCCUGGACAGCUGCCUGGCCGUCUCAGGUUUUGAUGGGACAGUCCAGGUCUAUGAUGCCACAUCUUGGGACGGAACGGGGAGCCGAGUAGAGCCGCUCUUCACUCACCGAGGUCACAUCUUCCUAGAAGACAGCCAGCCGGACGCCGCACCGCUGGUCACCACCCACACCUGGCACCCGCACAAGCUGAGGACUUUGUUAUCGGCAGCGAGUGACGCCUCUCUGCACGUGUGGGACUGGGCGGAGCGCCGCGCGGCCUGCUGACCCUGCCUCUCCCCGCCCGGGCCUUGGAGCAGGGGAGGCGCUGGAGAGCCAAGGAGGAGCUGACACCCUUCACCACGGAGCUAAACACAUGUGUGGCUGAGGAGUGGGAGGAGCGGAAGACAGAGCAGCUGCAAAGGCACCUGCCCCCCGGCCCAAGCAUAAAAACAAAAUGGCAGCCACUUCCCUUCCUCCAAAUCUCAUCCCGAAGCGACUCUCGUGGCUCACUCCACCUGGCACCGUACAGGGAAGGGAAUUCUGGGGGUGCAGUUCUACCUGACCAAGUCCCCACAUUAUAAAGCACCUCGAGUUUGGGGGUGCAGCUGGAGAAUUUGCAUCUCUAGUAGGUUCCCAGGUGAUGCUCCUGCCGCACGUAUGUGAGCCACCCUGAGUCCCUGUGUGUCCAGCAGCACAUUUGUUGUGCAGGACUGUCUCAACAGCCGCCUUACAUCUGUGUGGCCCCGGCCACCUAAUGCCAGUUGAGCUUCUGAUUUAUGGGACAACUACAAAUCCCCACCUCCGGUUUCUAAAAUGUUCCUUUGGGAACCUACACAGUCCCCAGAAAGGAACUCCUGGGGUUCUCGCAGCAAUUCUACGAAGAUGCCCCAGGGAACCCCUAGAGGGACCCAAAGACAACCCGUCAUUCACACUGACAUCACAGGACCUACUCCAGUUCAGCUCUGGGCAAGGAGAGUGGAGACUCAGCAGCACGUAAGGAAGAGAAUGUUCAGGAACUGUGUUGGCCUCAUAGAAAUUCAAGAUCUAAGAGAAAGACUAAGCAGCAAAAUGGAGAGAAGCCGGCACUACAGCAAAUCACCCUGCAGAGAAGGCGUUUCCUCCGUCCAGGUCCCGGCUGCCUCCAUGCCUCCUGAGAGAUGUAUAUGGCCACGUGGCCGAAUGUCACCAACUCCCGGGAAAACAGAACACCUGUCCAAAAUGUGCUGCCUUGGGACAAAAUGCCUCUCUACAUGGCCUUCGUCAGAGGGCAGGUGACAAAAAGGACGUAGAAGAAACGAAAAAGUGAGUUUUUGUUGGCUUUUAAAGGCGAUGAGGGGGAACGGAAAGGGAGCAGGGGAGAGAAAGGAAAGAAAGAAGGUGACCUUUGCUGAACGCCAGUGAGCUGUGCCGGAAGUUUUCACACUUGCUCGGUAUACAGUCAGUACGUGGCAGAACCAGGAUUUGAACGUGGGGCUCUGUCCCCUCCACCCCUCCCCAGCCCUGCACACCAUGUGGGCGAGAUUCGGAUACGGAGAAAAAGAAGUAACCGUUCCCUUUAAGGCAAACACACAAAUCAGCAUGAUCUUACAAUCUCGGGUUCAAGGAAAAGAAUGACUUAAUACCAUUCCUCCCUGCUUCAGCUGUGGGGCUGCCUUGCGUAAGGAGGGGGGCUGGACAACAUUUUUCUGGCUGCUCAUCAUCCCCUGGUCACUGCCACUCUCCUCCAGAGAAAGACCCCGAGUCCCAGGAUCAGGCAGGGCUGUGGGGAAGAGAAAGGAGCCAUUAGAGGACCAUGCUCUCAAC